This 977-nucleotide ribosomal RNA is filed under the name uncultured bacterium. RNAcentral describes it as "bacterial SSU rRNA". It matches the Rfam family "Bacterial small subunit ribosomal RNA", at positions 1 to 1015 of the family's 1533-position model. The record is from RNAcentral.
UGAGUUUGAUCCUGGCUCAGAAUCAACGCUGGCGGCGUGCCUAACACAUGCAAGUCGCACGAGAAAGUGGAGCAAUCCAUGAGUAAAGUGGCGCACGGGUGAGUAACACGUGAAUAAUCUACCUCCGAGUGGGGAAUAACUGAGAGAAAUCUUAGCUAAUACCGCAUAACACUUACGAGUCAAAGCAGCAAUGCGCUUGGAGAGGAGUUCGCGGCAGAUUAGUUAGUUGGCGGGGUAAUGGCCCACCAAGACGAUGAUCUGUAUCCGGCCUGAGAGGGCGCACGGACACACUGGAACUGAAACACGGUCCAGACUCCUACGGGAGGCAGCAGUGGGGAAUUUUGCGCAAUGGGGGAAACCCUGACGCAGCAACGCCGCGUGGAGGAUGAAAUAUCUUGGUAUGUAAACUCCUUUCGAUGGGGAAGAUAAUGACGGUACCCAUAGAAGAAGCCCCGGCUAACUUCGUGCCAGCAGCCGCGGUAAUACGAGGGGGGCAAGCGUUGUUCGGAAUUAUUGGGCGUAAAGGGUGCGUAGGCGGUUUGGCAAGUCUUAUGUGAAAUCUCUGGGCUCAACCCAGAGUCUGCAUGAGAAACUGCCGGGCUUGAGUAUGGGAGAGGUGAGUGGAAUUUCCGGUGUAGCGGUGAAAUGCGUAGAUAUCGGAAGGAACACCUGUGGCGAAAGCGGCUCACUGGACCAUAACUGACGCUGAUGCACGAAAGCUAGGGGAGCAAACAGGAUUAGAUACCCUGGUAGUCCUAGCCCUAAACGAUGAUUGCUUGGUGUGGCAGGUACCCAAUCCUGCCGUGCCGAAGCUAACGCGAUAAGCAAUCCGCCUGGGGAGUACGGUCGCAAGGCUGAAACUCAAAGGAAUUGACGGGGGCCCGCACAAGCGGUGGAGCAUGUGGUUUAAUUCGACGCAACGCGAAGAACCUUACCUGGGCUCGAAAUGUACCGGAAUCCGGCAGAAACGUCGGCGU